GAAGGAGGGUGCUAGCGUUGUUCGGAAUUACUGGGCGUAAAGGGCGCGUAGGCGGCCUGGUCAGUCGGGUGUGAAAGCCCGGGGCUCAACCCCGGAACGGCACCCGAGACGGUCAGGCUGGAGACCGGGAGAGGAGGGUGGAAUAGCCAGUGUAGAGGUGAAAUUCGUAGAUAUUGGCUGGAACACCGGUGGCGAAAGCGGCUCUCUGGCCCGGUUCUGACGCUGAGGCGCGAAAGCGUGGGGAGCAAACAGG
RNAcentral lists this ribosomal RNA (253 nucleotides) under uncultured bacterium. RNAcentral's name for it is "partial 16S ribosomal RNA". It matches the Rfam family "Bacterial small subunit ribosomal RNA", at positions 524 to 776 of the family's 1533-position model. The record is from RNAcentral.